Molecule: microRNA precursor, 63 nt
Filed under: Petromyzon marinus (sea lamprey)
Lineage: Eukaryota; Metazoa; Chordata; Hyperoartia; Petromyzontiformes; Petromyzontidae
Description: Pma-Mir-10-P2o2_pre stem-loop
Source: RNAcentral
AACCCGUAGAUUCGAACUUGGGGGGGGCUGAAAUCCGAACACAAGGUCGCUUCUGUGGGUGUG